This is a long non-coding RNA of Eriocheir sinensis (Chinese mitten crab), 390 nucleotides long. RefSeq lists it as uncharacterized. Lineage: Eukaryota; Metazoa; Arthropoda; Malacostraca; Decapoda; Varunidae. The record is from RefSeq and is a predicted model, not a curated record. The transcript is spliced from 3 exons.
AGUAUAUUCUUGAUCGUGAAAGGAGAAGGGCAGAGAAGGAAGGACGGAAGGGAAUGGAUAGUGAAGAGGAACAGGAAGAGGAAGGAAGAUAAAAGAGUGCACACCGAGUGUAGACGAGUCCCUCUUCCCUUCCCUUCCCUGCUGCGGCUUCACCGACCCGAGGUGCGAGCCAGCGAGCACCGGGCCGCCGCCUCCCUGAGGCCCGCCCUCCACCUGGACACGACGUGACAGAUGCCACACCCUACCCGUAACACCUCCAUAGCCUACUUACCACCACCACCACCACCACCAUGGCCUACUCACCCGCCGCCGCCAGCAACAUCAGCCCCAGCAGCGUGGUCGCCCCCUGCAGCAGCGGCGUCACUGCCAUGGUCGUGGUCGUCAUGCAAC